GCCUGUUCGAGCGUCAUUAUAACCCUCAAGCCUGGCUUGGUGUUGGAGCAUGCGUCCGCAGCUCUUAAAAUCAGUGGCAGUGCCUAGUUGGGCUCUAAGCGUAGUAAUACUCCUCGCUAUAGGACCCGCUGGAUACGCGCCAGAACCCCAAAUUUUCUAUGGUUGACCUCGGAUCAGGUAGGGAUACCCGCUGAACUUAA
RNAcentral lists this unclassified non-coding RNA (200 nucleotides) under soil metagenome. RNAcentral describes it as "partial contains internal transcribed spacer 2 and large subunit ribosomal RNA". The record is from RNAcentral.